RNAcentral lists this ribosomal RNA (274 nucleotides) under uncultured bacterium. RNAcentral describes it as "partial 16S ribosomal RNA". It matches the Rfam family "Bacterial small subunit ribosomal RNA", at positions 523 to 796 of the family's 1533-position model. The record is from RNAcentral.
AUACGGAGGGUGCAAGCGUUAUUCGGAAUCACUGGGCGUAAAGGACGCGUAGGCGGGUUGGCAAGUCAGAUGUGAAAUCCUACAGCUUAACUGUAGAACUGCAUUUGAAACUGCUAACCUAGAGUAUGGGAGGGGGAGAUGGAAUUAGUGGUGUAGGAGUAAAAUCCGUAGAUAUCACUAGGAAUACCGAAAGCGAAGGCGAUCUCCUGGAACAUAACUGACGCUAAGGCGUGAAAGCGUGGGGAGCAAACAGGAUUAGAUACCCUAGUAGUCC